GCUUGCUCCCGGAUGUUAGCGGCGGACGGGUGAGUAACACGUGGGUAACCUGCCUGUAAGACUGGGAUAACUCCGGGAAACCGGAGCUAAUACCGGAUAGUUCCUUGAACCGCAUGGUUCAAGGAUGAAAGACGGUUUCGGCUGUCACUUACAGAUGGACCCGCGGCGCAUUAGCUAGUUGGUGAGGUAACGGCUCACCAAGGCGACGAUGCGUAGCCGACCUGAGAGGGUGAUCGGCCACACUGGGACUGAGACACGGCCCAGACUCCUACGGGAGGCAGCAGUAGGGAAUCUUCCGCAAUGGACGAAAGUCUGACGGAGCAACGCCGCGUGAGUGAUGAAGGUUUUCGGAUCGUAAAGCUCUGUUGUUAGGGAAGAACAAGUGCAAGAGUAACUGCUUGCACCUUGACGGUACCUAACCAGAAAGCCACGGCUAACUACGUGCCAGCAGCCGCGGUAAUACGUAGGUGGCAAGCGUUGUCCGGAAUUAUUGGGCGUAAAGGGCUCGCAGGCGGUUUCUUAAGUCUGAUGUGAAAGCCCCCGGCUCAACCGGGGAGGGUCAUUGGAAACUGGGAAACUUGAGUGCAGAAGAGGAGAGUGGAAUUCCACGUGUAGCGGUGAAAUGCGUAGAGAUGUGGAGGAACACCAGUGGCGAAGGCGACUCUCUGGUCUGUAACUGACGCUGAGGAGCGAAAGCGUGGGGAGCGAACAGGAUUAGAUACCCUGGUAGUCCACGCCGUAAACGAUGAGUGCUAAGUGUUAGGGGGUUUCCGCCCCUUAGUGCUGCAGCUAACGC
Molecule: ribosomal RNA, 796 nt
Filed under: Bacillus sp. FJAT-17434
Lineage: Bacteria; Bacillati; Bacillota; Bacilli; Caryophanales; Bacillaceae
Description: bacterial SSU rRNA
Rfam family: Bacterial small subunit ribosomal RNA
Source: RNAcentral